AACGUAGGACGCAAGCGUUAUCCGGAGUUACUGGGCGUAAAGCGCGGGCAGGCGGCUCGAAACGUCUGAUGUGAAGUCUCCUCGCUCAACGGGGAGAGGCCAUUGGAAACGGUCGAGCUGGAGGGCAGUAGAGGUAGGCGGAAUUCCGGGUGGAGUGGUGAAAUGCGUAGAGAUCCGGAGGAACACCAGAGGCGAAGGCGGCCUACUGGGCUGCACCUGACGCUGAGCCGCGAAAGCCAGGGGAGCGAACGGG
RNAcentral lists this ribosomal RNA (253 nucleotides) under uncultured bacterium. RNAcentral describes it as "partial 16S ribosomal RNA". It matches the Rfam family "Bacterial small subunit ribosomal RNA", at positions 524 to 776 of the family's 1533-position model. The record is from RNAcentral.